This 780-nucleotide ribosomal RNA is filed under the name Triticum aestivum (bread wheat). RNAcentral describes it as "partial small subunit ribosomal RNA". Lineage: Eukaryota; Viridiplantae; Streptophyta; Magnoliopsida; Poales; Poaceae. The record is from RNAcentral.
AUGCAAUUGGUCUCGGGAGGCCACACUGCCAUCAAUGUUAAUGGUCAGGUUAGCAAAUUCUUUGCCAAUGGUAGGGGCCUGAGGCAAGGCGAUCCUGCCUCUCCCAUCCUAUUCAAUUUCGUUGCAGAUGCUUUAUCUCGCCUCCUUUCUAGGGCGGCUGCCACUGGGCACAUUACUCCGGUUUGCUCUAAUCUCAUUCCCCAUGGUCUCACCCAUCUCCAAUAUGCGGACGACACUAUUAUUCUGGUCGAGAUGAAUGAGGCCUGCCUUGCCCACCUCAAAUUUAUUUUACUCUGCUUCGAGGCUAUGUCAGGGCUUAAGAUUAACUUCGCCAAGAGCGAAGUAGUUGUGACUGGUGUGGACGGGUCGGAAGCCGCGCGAGUGGCCCACCUUCUUAAUUGUAAGCAGGGCUCCUAUCCGUUCAAAUACUUGGGGUUGCCUAUUUCCCCGGAUGUGCUACAUGCCAAAGAUUUUGCCCCGAUAGUCACUAAGGUGGGAAACAGGGUCCUUCCCUGGCGGGGUAGAUAUAAUACGAACGCUGGUAAAGUGGCCCUAAUUAAUGCUUGUCUCUCCUCCCUCCCCAUGUUCCUUAUGGGCUUCUUUCUCUUGUCGGCUGGGAUUCAUGCUGGUUUUGACAAACACCGUGGGGCGUUCUACUGGAAUGCUGCGGACAACCGCCGCAAAUAUCGCUUCGUCAAAUGGAAAUUGAUGUGCAGGCCCAAAAACCUUGGGGGGUUAGGGAUUCUCAAUACCCAUCAUGAACCAAUGCUUGAUGAUUAA